This 253-nucleotide ribosomal RNA is filed under the name uncultured bacterium. RNAcentral's name for it is "partial 16S ribosomal RNA". It matches the Rfam family "Bacterial small subunit ribosomal RNA", at positions 524 to 776 of the family's 1533-position model. The record is from RNAcentral.
UACGUAGGGGGCAAGCGUUGUCCGGAUUUAUUGGGCGUAAAGAGCGUGUAGGCGGCCUGAAAGGUCAGCUGUGAAAACUCGAGGCUCAACCUCGAGACGUCGGUUGAAACCAUCUGGCUAGAGUCCGGAAGAGGAGUGUGGAAUUCCCGGUGUAGCGGUGAAAUGCGCAGAUAUCGGGAAGAACACCGGUGGCGAAGGCGGGUCUCUGGGCCGUUACUGACGCUGAGGAGCGAAAGCGUGGGGAGCGAACAGG